Molecule: non-coding RNA, 654 nt
Organism: Oncorhynchus mykiss (rainbow trout)
Lineage: Eukaryota; Metazoa; Chordata; Actinopteri; Salmoniformes; Salmonidae
Source: RefSeq, a predicted model, not a curated record
UAAGCUAUAAGGGCACUGUUGAGUUGGCCUAUGCAAUUGCAGGACAUUUGCCUUAAAAUUAAUUGAAUGGAGCUUUUAUCCGAGGACAAAUAAAGGUACUGGUUCUACACACUGUGCACACAGCGUUGAGUAGCCUAAAGCACGCUUCCAUCUCUGCAACAUCUUUUGUAUUUCAAUCACGCAGUGGAACGCUUCAGGGAAAUUAUGCAACAUGAGAACUGCGGAGCAGGGAAGUGAACCGGGAUUGCUGGCGUGAAGGCAAACACCCUACUCAUCACACCAGUAAGAUUAACCCACUUGGCUCCUGAGGUUGAGGUGCAUUAAGGUGCAUUACCGCCACCAACUGGACUGGAGUGUGGACCAGAGACAGCUCUUACCCUCUCAAGGAACCCUCCCUCAUUGGCUGAGGGAGCAACCAAGGUGGGAUAGCAGGAAGAACCAUAGAGAGGCUAAACUCCCUCCCAAACAACCCCAUCUCUCUCGCCAUGUCAUUGGCUUGGGACUGGAUUACAUGUAGCUUUUUAAAAGAUGGCGGAGCUGCUGAUCCAUAUGCUACUAUAUGCGCUAUAUAUAGCACUAUCAACGCUAUUCCCCCCCACCACCCCACCACCCCCACCCCCCCCCACACACACACUCCAAUCCUGACGGGCAAAG